This 819-nucleotide ribosomal RNA is filed under the name Bacillus sp. (in: firmicutes). Its description in RNAcentral is "bacterial SSU rRNA". It matches the Rfam family "Bacterial small subunit ribosomal RNA", at positions 211 to 1021 of the family's 1533-position model. Lineage: Bacteria; Bacillati; Bacillota; Bacilli; Caryophanales; Bacillaceae. The record is from RNAcentral.
GCUGUCACUUACAGAUGGACCCGCGGCGCAUAAGCUAGUUGGUGAGGUAACGGCUCACCAAGGCGACGAUGCGUAGCCGACCUGAGAGGGUGAUCGGCCACACUGGGACUGAGACACGGCCCAGACUCUUACGGGAGGCAGCAGUAGGGAAUCUUCCGCAAUGGACGAAAGUCUGACGGAGCAACGCCGCGUGAGUGAUGAAGGUUUUCGGAUCGUAAAGCUCUGUUGUUAGGGAAGAACAAGUGCAAGAGUAACUGCUUGCACCUUGACGGUACCUAACCAGAAAGCCACGGCUAACUACGUGCCAGCAGCCGCGGUAAUACGUAGGUGGCAAGCGUUGUCCGGAAUUAUUGGGCGUAAAGGGCUCGCAGGCGGUUUCUUAAGUCUGAUGUGAAAGCCCCCGGCUCAACCGGGGAGGGUCAUUGGAAACUGGGAAACUUGAGUGCAGAAGAGGAGAGUGGAAUUCCACGUGUAGCGGUGAAAUGCGUAGAGAUGUGGAGGAACACCAGUGGCGAAGGCGACUCUCUGGUCUGUAACUGACGCUGAGGAGCGAAAGCGUGGGGAGCGAACAGGAUUAGAUACCCUGGUAGUCCACGCCGUAAACGAUGAGUGCUAAGUGUUAGGGGGUUUCCGCCCCUUAGUGCUGCAGCUAACGCAUUAAGCACUCCGCCUGGGGAGUACGGUCGCAAGACUGAAACUCAAAGGAAUUGACGGGGGCCCGCACAAGCGGUGGAGCAUGUGGUUUAAUUCGAAGCAACGCGAAGAACCUUACCAGGUCUUGACAUCCUCUGACAACCCUAGAGAUAGGGCUUUCCCUUC